UGGAGAGAAGAUCCUUCCACUUCGAGUAACUUUACUAGUCCCAACAAUGUCAACGUCAUUAGGAUUAGCAGAAUUAUCAUCUUGCUUUAUGCCGUGGAUGUAAACAUCACCUCCAUAAUUCCACGGAAUGGCUUUGCUUGAGGAAUACGGUACUGGGCCAGGUGCAGUAAUGAUUAGGGGAGCUACCUUGGGCUCAGCAGUAAUCUUCACAGGCACUCUAGUAGCGGUAAUCUUCACUGGAACUUUGGACCUAGCAAUC
Molecule: long non-coding RNA, 259 nt
Filed under: Lathyrus oleraceus (garden pea)
Lineage: Eukaryota; Viridiplantae; Streptophyta; Magnoliopsida; Fabales; Fabaceae
Description: Pisum sativum (pea) long non-coding RNA (PSAT_LNC010928)
Source: RNAcentral